This 458-nucleotide ribosomal RNA is filed under the name uncultured bacterium. Its description in RNAcentral is "bacterial SSU rRNA". It matches the Rfam family "Bacterial small subunit ribosomal RNA", at positions 520 to 975 of the family's 1533-position model. The record is from RNAcentral.
GUAAUACGUAGGGUGCGARCGUUGUCCGGAAUUAUUGGGCGUAAAGAGCUUGUAGGCGGUUUGUCGCGUCUGCAGUGAAAAUCCGGGGCUCAACCCCGGACUUGCUGUGGGUACGGGCAGACUAGAGUGUGGUAGGGGAGACCGGAAUUCCUGGUGUAGCGGUGGAAUGCGCAGAUAUCAGGAGGAACACCGAUGGCGAAGGCAGGUCUCUGGGCCACAACUGACGCUGAGAAGCGAAAGCAUGGGGAGCGAACAGGAUUAGAUACCCUGGUAGUCCAUGCCGUAAACGUUGGGCGCUAGGUGUGGGGCUCAUUCCACGAGCUCUGUGCCGCAGCUAACGCAUUAAGCGCCCCGCCUGGGGAGUACGSCCGCAAGGCUAAAACUCAAAGGAAUUGWCGGGGGCCCGCACAAGCGGCGGAGCAUGCGGAUUAAUUCGAUGCAACGCGAAGAACCUUACC